Molecule: non-coding RNA, 25 nt
Filed under: Cricetulus griseus (Chinese hamster)
Lineage: Eukaryota; Metazoa; Chordata; Mammalia; Rodentia; Cricetidae
Source: RNAcentral
AAUUUGUUGGAAUUGUUUAUUAAUA